This is a non-coding RNA of Treponema porcinum, 111 nucleotides long. The record is from Rfam. Lineage: Bacteria; Pseudomonadati; Spirochaetota; Spirochaetia; Treponematales; Treponemataceae.
UCCGGUAGCCAUAGUGGAGAGGCAAUACCCGUUCCCAUUCCGAACACGGAAGUCAAGCUCUCUAACGCCGAUGAUACUGCCGCAAGGCGGGAAAGUAGGUAGCUGCCGGAC